UGUUAGGCUGUCCGCACGCGGCUAAAAUUAGGCCCGUGACAUAAGGUACAUAUGAAUUUAGCUGGUCAGUUGUAAACAGCUGAUUGAAUGGAAUGAUAUAACUGUACUUUUAGUAGGAGAAUGAUUGGUCUAAAGCUUAGAUCAAACUUCCCGAUCUUUGUAGUUCCAUCUUCAAAAAUUUACCAGGAAGCUAAGAUCCACAUGUACUAACAUAUGAAAACAUGAAGGAUCGAACCUCUAUAUAUGGAUCUUUUAAGUGAAUCUCUUCCUUGUUCACUUCUGAUACACUGGUGUAGAUGCUAAUUUCUUAAUUUCACUUCUUUCAAGUAAAAGUUCAUUAUUUAGCCUUUAACUUGCAAGUAAGCUCAGUUGAAGUUACUGGAGCUCGUGCAUCUGUGAGUUCUAAGGUUCAGUCUCUUCUGAAAGACAUUAAAGAGGUGCAUUUUAAGCUUCUUAUAUUUUCCUCGUUGAUCCUUCAUAUUCUUAAUGCUAAGCUGAUAUAUCUUACAGUCUCAUUUACUCUGUGAUGGCCUUCAAAGUUUGGUAUGUUGGGCAAAGAUACAACUCUCAGCAUGCUAGACCUUUCUCUCAAAUUAUGCCAAGAAGAAUAAUGAAAAUUCAAACUCUUAAUUGCAGAGUCAAUUGUGCUUCACUAGCUUUUCUAAACUUCAGAUAUUUGCUUCUCUUUGGUUUUUUUUCUAAAAUUUCCAUCCAAAUGAUCAGGAUUAGCUAAUAUUCAACCAACUUGUGCCACAUCUGUUUACAAACGGGUCGAAAAUAUUAUUUAGUUCCGUUUGAAUUGUUUGGAAAAGUAGGCCAUGAUUCUCCAUUUCACAAGGAUUUACCAAGAUUAGAUGCACCCAAUUUCUACUAUGUUCAGGAAUGAACAUUGUUGGAACAUUUUGUGUUUAUGCUCUAUCAUCUUAAUUUGUUUAUCUGAUUUUGAGUAUUUGAAAUGUGACUUUUGAGUAAAAUAAAAGAAAGAAUUUUGAAUGUUUUGGUCUCAAAUCAAAGGAUUGGUGACUAAACAUAUGAGGUUUAAGUACAAUAAAAUAAAGAAUUUUGAGUGAACUUUCAAACAACCCAGUCAUCAUAUCUUCUGAUUUUUGUUUCACUAAAAUUUCCCUCUUCUGUGCUGUACUAUGUGUUUGUGUGAUAUCUCGUUACUUGAGCCGGGGGUCUUUCGGAAACAGCCUUUCUACCUCAGCAGAGGUAGAGGUAUGGUCUGCGUACAUCUUACCCCCCCCCAGACCCCACGUAAGUGGGAAUACACUGGGUUUGUUGUUGUUGUUGUUGUUGAGUGUUGCAGUCUCAAAUCAAAGGAUAAGUGAAGUGACAUAUGACUUUUUAAGUAAAAUAGAAGAAAGAUUUUGAAUAUUUAGGUCCUAACUCUCUUUUUUCUUCUCAACAGGAGAUUGCUUAAUCUUCUUUUGCAUUUUCUUAGCAGCACACAACGGCAUCCUAUGUCAAUGAUGUAGGCUAAAGAAAAAAGAAAACAACUUUUAAGAAACUAUAUUUACCUAAUAAAAAAAAAAAGGAAGUAAAGAACUUUUAAUUGCUUAUAAUGUGUACAAAUCAUGUGAAUGGCACAGAUUGAAGCAAAAAAUCAUUGUACAAGUCUGACCAGGUUGCUUAUUGACCAGAUUAGCCAGCAGCAAGGAAGAGUAGUGGCUCUUGAAGGUGCACUUUGUUCUCGUGUGUAAUCUUUUCUUUCUUUUUUUGCGUCCUCUUUCUAACUACGUGAGAAAUGGAUUUUUUUCCUGCAUUCGACAAAUGGAGCUAUUGGAAGUCCUGUAUCUUGAAAAUUAUAUGUAAGUUUUCGUCCUAUCGUACAUGAGUUGGGUGAAAAAAUGAACACAUGAAGUGCUAGGACCAAGAGUGCCAGCAAUUAAAGGCUCUUGUUCAGGAUUUUGAAAGUAAAUUCAGAAACUCCUCUUCCUUCUUUCAGCUUUUUGUCAUAUGAAUGUAUGCCGGUAAAAAUCAUACCUAUUGUACGUGAUAAAUAAAGAUAUGUUAAGUGUCAAUGUGUCAGUUCACAUCAUGGAGUAAAUAAUAUUAUGGGCUCUAAUUCUAGAUAUACUUAUGCCUACAAUAAAUAAAUAUACUCAUGCCUACAAGUAUUUGAACUUAUUUAUGUAUUUGAUGUUGUUAAUUUAUCUGUUACAGGCAAGGGCAUAAAAAAGUUGAUUGGAAAUUUGCAGGUUUACACACAUUCUCACAUCUUCAGUCAUGCUACCAACAUAUGUUGACCUUAAUUCUGUCAAAUGUUUGUUCAUUGCCUAAUUACUAUAUACACUAGAUGCCAGUGUCUUCUGUAGUUGUUAGUGGAAAGUUUAGUUUUUAGUUUCAUGGUCUAGAACAUAUUACGUGGAAAGUUAGAAUUGAAGUGACUAAAAAGGAAAGUGAUUCAAAGAAAAAAAGAUCGAAAGGAGUAAAGUAUAUAGAUAAUGGACAGAUAAAUUAUCUAUGAAUUAAUAAAACUUUACUCACUAUACAGGUUUUCCUUAAUGAUAUUGCAUUUAUUUGUUAAUUGAAUAUAUACAUACACCAUCAAAUCUACUACUUGGACCUUUUGAGUUCAUUUGUUGAGCAAAAAGUUUACCAACUGUUCUGAUUUGAAAGUGGUGCACUAAAGCUCUUGCUUUUAUUGUAUGAAGUCGUACUCUGCAUUUUGAAAGAUUAGGUUGGUUAUUGGUCAAUGUAUAGUAAUUACUUCUCCAAGGGAGUUUUGUGAGUCCCGAAUCAUGAAUGCAAUCUGGUUCAUGUCUUUUAUAUUUUUGUGUAAUGAGUUGACCGAUGCUAACCGUGCAGAUAUACAAUUGUAUUGCACGGAUGGAGCACAUUGAUCAUGCUCAUAAAUCUGCGCAGCAUUGUAUUAAAUCAUUGCUAACUACACACGCACACGUGAGUUAAUAAUAAAUAAAAGGCAUAAUAAGAGUGAUAUAGCAUACUUUUUUGCAGGUAAACUGAAGGGGGUUCUUCUUGAAAGUGGGAGUCCUGAGCUAUCAACCUGUCUUGGUUUUAUUUUUCUUUUGGUUUUAUUGUUUUCUCUUCCUCCUCCUCUUCAUCAUUUAUAGACUUGAGUAUCUUGGUCAUGUUCAUUCUCUGACUCAAUAACUCUAUACUCAUCCUCCUCAUCAUCAGGAAGACUUCUUGGAGCUGUGUUGAGAGUGCAGGGAACUUCUUGACCACUUUUUUGUAUCUGAGUAGAAGUAUCAGUAACAUUUGCAUCUUUUUGUUGUCUCUUAUUGAUGGCAUCUCUUUUGUUUUU
Long non-coding RNA from Capsicum annuum, 3271 nucleotides. RefSeq lists it as uncharacterized. Lineage: Eukaryota; Viridiplantae; Streptophyta; Magnoliopsida; Solanales; Solanaceae. The record is from RefSeq and is a predicted model, not a curated record. The transcript is spliced from 2 exons.